Mercenaria mercenaria is the source of this 2282-nucleotide long non-coding RNA. RefSeq lists it as uncharacterized. The transcript is spliced from 5 exons. The record is from RefSeq and is a predicted model, not a curated record. Lineage: Eukaryota; Metazoa; Mollusca; Bivalvia; Venerida; Veneridae.
CAUACACCGGUCAUACACUUCCGUUGCCUCGUCAGAUAUAUACCUUAUAUGUAAUAAUAUACCAAAACCUAAAAUUUUAACUUUUUUAAUAAAAGGGAUUCACUUACAGUAAAUAAUGUUUUUGAAUACAGGGAGCACUGGUGCACGUAUUAAAACCAACAAACAGUAGGUACAGGCCAAUAUAAGAAAAAUACUAUCAGUGCAACCAAGUGCCUGUGUCUGAAACUGGGUCAGAGAAUACAUGCAGUUAUUGCUCUGAAUAUACGCGGAUAUUUUAAGUGCAUGGCGGAUUUAAUAAUUGUUAUGGAUAACCUCAAGCAGUAAGAAAUAUAAAGGCUCACUGCAGUUUUGAGUGCUCAACAAGUAUUGACCCCAUACUAUGCUCAGCAAGUAGGGCCCUUGUAUUUCUGUGAAUCCUCAUGCAGUACAGUACUGCUGUUGGAGGAGGAGCAAACAGUGUGGUAUUUAUGGUCCGCCAUCACUUCAAGCAUCAUGGCUAUGGAGAAAAGAAUGUUUCAUUACAUAUGGACAAUUAUAGUGGACAAAAUAAGAAAAGUGUUGUAAUAAGCUAUGGAAUGUGGCUUGUUAUGAUGGGUCUACAUGAUGACUUGGAGUACAACCUGAUUGAGGCACGGCAUACAGAAUUCAGUCCUGAACAUGUUUAGAAUGUCUUCUGCAUGACCUGGUAUAGAUAGUAUUCUUGAAGGAUUAUAACUUCAACACAGAGACGGAGAUUAAUAUUUUUAGGCAGGGAGUUGGCAUGACAGGCAAAUUCACCAACCGUAUUACCAUUCCUGAGCUGGAUGCCAGUCGACAGUGGUACCUGUAUAAUGAAAUAGCGCCCCUUUGCAGCAACAGCAAUGUAUGCUCAAAACCAGCAGUGUCAAAGCCAUUAAAAUUGAUAAUUCAAGUCAUUUAAAACGAAGAAUGAAUGGAAAAAAGUGUUUAACAUUUAAAGUAAUACAGAGUAAGAGCUCUGAAAUUUUGAUUAAUUUGAAAUUGUUUUUGAUUUUUUGAAGAUGUACUAGACCCAAAUUCCAUAUAUUUGAAAAAGAACAAAUGAUACAUAUAGUUUAUGUAAACAUUGAAUUAACAACUUUAUCGUGUCAACAGUACUAUGCAUUUGUUAAAUAUUGACUCACUAUAUACAUGUAAGGCUGAACACAGUAUAAAUGUUAAAUUCCUCUAAAAUACUGGAAGAUUUUUCAACAAUAAUUGUAACAUAUAUGGUAGUAAUAUACAUUUUUUUUCAUUACGACAGUUGGAUUAUAUAGAUCUACGAAUAUUUUCUGCUGUAUUCACACUGCAUGUAAUCAUUUCUGUCGGCAGUAUCAUGUUUAUUUUCCCUUUUCAUGAACAAUUAAUUUAACCUGUCUUGAAAGCACAAAAUAUGUAUAAUUUGUAAAACAUACAUUGGAUUAUUGUGGAAACAAUUUAGUUUUUGUAUGUCUAAUUAUAUAAUAUUGCCGUUAGUAUUAUCUAACUCUUUUAAUAUGAUCAAGACAUUUAAUAAGGCAUUUUUCUUAAACUAUUACUGUGUGUUAAAUGAGAUUAUGUAGUAUUAUGUUUACGGAAUUAACUGCGUAACCAUGGAAACAUUUUUCUGUUGUUCUAUGUUAUGUCUUGAAAAAAACAUUGUUUGAAGAACACUUUUCAGUGGUGCAUUUUUUUAAAUUUUUACAUGUAAUGGUAAAUGCUGAAAGUGUUCUACAAUAACUUAGCAAAAACGUCAUUGUUGUCUCAUUGAAGCAUAUAUUGCAACUCCAUUGUAACCAUAGCAACAGAAAUAUAUUGUAUUAUUUAUGAAUAAUGAUCUUCACAAACAAAUUACAUAUGUUAUUUUUCUUAAAGAAUGACCUAAAUUGGUUUUAUUCCAUAAAAGCAAACAUAGCAAAUAUUCUCCUUUUUAUCUCCGUUUCCAUGGCAACCAUAUAUUUUUUUGCCUCAAAUUAUAGGCGUUGCUUAGGGUUAUAUCGUAGCAUAUCUGAAUGUUAAUUAUACGUUCUGAUGUAAUUGUUAUAAGAGAUUUUCGUGUUUCCAUAAAGAAAAUCAAUUGGUUGCCAUGGCAACAGCACAAUUUCAAAUGAAUUAAAAUAUGAGAUUUUGCAUUCUGAGUUGUUGAUCAUUCAUUAUAAUAAUAUUUCAACAACAUUUGAUGCUGUGCCAUUUUAACCUAUAAGUGAACCAAGCCCUUUGCAUACACCAUAACGAAAAACAGAAUUUAGAUUUUUCCCCUUCUAGCCUAAUACAGUUUAACAAUGUCAAUUUUGGAACAAGCUUUU